GUGGAAAUUAACUUGUAAUAUGAGGUAUUUGAAAGUAAAAUGGUUUAAGAACACACUCUUAUGGGUUUUAUUUCCUUGUAGGUAUUAUUUUUUAUCCAGUCAAAAAUGUUGAAAUAUCACUUGUCACUGUACAAAUAACAGGAAGUAGUUCAAUAUAGUUUCUCCAUAUUUACUCUCUGUGGUUUUGAGCAAGACUUUUGAGAAGCUUUCAGAAGAUAUGCUGCAGAGAGUCGGUGAGGGCGGCUCAUUGUCUAUAACGAUGAACAUAAUAAUUGCUCUUCUGUGUGAGUACACUAACAGAUAACAUCUAUGUCUUUCAGUCAAACUGUUUUCUGUCUAUUUAAGCUGACAGGAUUCAUUUAAUUUUUCACUUCUUUUCUUCAAGGUAUUCUGACAAAUCAGGUCAUAAGCCAAGGUAAGUUCAGUUUCACUCAUUAAAAGAUAUGUCUCUUCUGUAUUCCUAAAUGUUAUUAAGCUGCACUCAUCAUCACAUAUAUUGCUCAUUAUGAUGUCACACAGAUAUUUUUCCUGCAAAGAUCCUGGCCCAGCAGACAAUUAUAAGUGAAAACAGUGACCUUUAUGUAACAUGCAGCACACUUGAGAGAAAGAAAGACUCCAAGGUUUUUAUUUAUUUGUUAAAAAAUGGGCACGGAAUCCAGAAUCUCACCCAGAAGCAAGAUCGAAGUGACACCAAGUUCAGGAUACCCAGAGCUGGUCUUCAUCACAGUGGAAAUUACAGCUGUGUUUAUUCUCAGAAACCUUAUACACUUUCUGAAGUAGUCAAGAAAGGAGACAACAUCAUUGAGAUUCUGGUCAUAGGUAAGUGUUUUGACUCCUGAACACAUGAUGUCAUUGUUAUUUCUUUCCACUCAUUUUCUCCUGUUUCCAUGCAGCCAAUUUUCUCCCAGCAGAUAUUUCAAUAGUUGGGCCAUCCACUGUUCAUGAGGGAGACUAUGUUGAAUUCCAGUGCACAGUGUCUCAACACCUACAUACACUUGGUGGAUGUAAAUUUAUCUACGCUUACCUGAGGAAGAACGACACGAUUCUCCAAGUGCAAGUCUUUAAUGUGUCUCAGAAGCUGGCAACUUUCAUCAUCGAUAGUGCAGUUUUCAAGGAUUCAGGUCCUUACAGCUGCAUAGUGCUGCCAUCAAAAUGCUUCUAUGAGCACGAGUACACAGUUCAUGGAACAAACAAUUUAUUUCUUGAGGUCAAAGUGGAUUUGGUGUCUACAGUGUUACUCCAUGGUGGAGUAAUAACCUUGAUGCUGUCACUAGGGGCGUGUCUUUGGUGGAUUUCAAACAAACUAGGUCAAAUAAGUAUAAUUAAAAAUAAUUUUAGGCUUCACAUUUUUUUCACAAGUCAUUGUAUAUUGUAUGGAUUAAUCAAACCAACCACAUAA
RNAcentral lists this long non-coding RNA (1399 nucleotides) under Oreochromis niloticus (Nile tilapia). Its description in RNAcentral is "lncRNA (ENSONIG00000032710.1)". Lineage: Eukaryota; Metazoa; Chordata; Actinopteri; Cichliformes; Cichlidae. The record is from RNAcentral.